Molecule: ribosomal RNA, 253 nt
Filed under: uncultured bacterium
Lineage: Bacteria
Description: partial 16S ribosomal RNA
Rfam family: Bacterial small subunit ribosomal RNA
Source: RNAcentral
UACGGGGGGAGCAAGCGUUGUUCGGAAUUACUGGGCGUAAAGGGCGCGUAGGCGGCCUCUUAAGUCGAACGUGAAAUCCCCGGGCUUAACCCGGGAACUGCGUCCGAUACUGGGGGGCUUGAAUUCGGGAGAGGGAUGCGGAAUUCCAGGUGUAGCGGUGAAAUGCGUAGAUAUCUGGAGGAACACCGGUGGCGAAGGCGGCAUCCUGGACCGACAUUGACGCUGAUGCGCGAAAGCCAGGGGAGCAAACGGG